CAGUCGCCACGGUAAUACGUAGGUGGCAAGCGUUGUCCGGAAUUAUUGGGCGUAAAGGGCUCGCAGGCGGUUUCUUAAGUCUGAUGUGAAAGCCCCCGGCUCAACCGGGGAGGGUCAUUGGAAACUGGGAAACUUGAGUGCAGAAGAGGAGAGUGGAAUUCCACGUGUAGCGGUGAAAUGCGUAGAGAUGUGGAGGAACACCAGUGGCGAAGGCGACUCUCUGGUCUGUAACUGACGCUGAGGAGCGAAAGCGUGGGGAGCGAACAGGAUUAGAGACCCCCGUAGUCCCUGUCUCUUAUAU
Molecule: ribosomal RNA, 301 nt
Filed under: uncultured bacterium
Lineage: Bacteria
Description: partial 16S ribosomal RNA
Rfam family: Bacterial small subunit ribosomal RNA
Source: RNAcentral